This 377-nucleotide long non-coding RNA is filed under the name Homo sapiens (human). RNAcentral describes it as "HSALNT0342670". The record is from RNAcentral. Lineage: Eukaryota; Metazoa; Chordata; Mammalia; Primates; Hominidae.
GUGACACCUGGUCUCAAACACUACUACCCCUCCCCAUCCCCAAACAAUUAAACAAAACUAAGUACACAUAUUUUGGGAGGAAAAUCACUAUUAAGGACCAUUUCUUUGGCUGAAGUAGGGGUUUGAAAACUGUCUUUUAAAAGCCGGAAUAGACCCCAGGAAGUGAGUGGGAGUGUAGUGUUUGACAUAUAGCUGAAAUAGCCCAGGUGCCUCCCAUUUGCCAACUUGAAGCUAGAAAUUAAAGAAGCAUGGAUGAUGCAGUUCACAGAGGUUAGCCUCUGGGAUGUGGAGCAGAAAGGAGCAGGGAAUGGAUUUAGAGGGCAACAGAGAUUAACCAGCAUGUCACAUGUUAUGGGUUGAGUUGGAUCCCCCCCAGA